GUCGCUUCGCAUUCACUUCCGGGGUGAAACAAACAAAAACGAAAGGCUACCACUGUAGGGCAGGCAAACAAGCAACUGUCGACCAAACCUGCGUGCACACACACUCACACACACACACACACACACGUUCCUCUCUUUUUCCAAAAAGCCCUCACGGUAAAUAGCCAGGCAGACAAAAGCCUGGGUUUCCGUAUUGCUUUUGUAUGCAGUGGCAGGAAGCAGUUGUCAGCUGCAUCAGUGAAAAAUAACAACGGCAAACACUCAGACACCCAGACACAUGCCACAAUGUUCCCGUGGAAAUCAAACUCUGAGAAAUUUUUAAAAUGUUUUCAACACAUCAGCAUGAAGCAUCGACCUAGUUGGAAUCACUUAGAUCUAAAGCAAAUGCACUGAUUGUUUUCACAGCAGGCUUUUCUUCUUGGAGCUGAAACAGGCGCACUGGCGAGGCUGGCAAGGAACGGUUUUCCAGCCCCCUGCCUUGGUCGGCUAUAGCCUGUGACACGAUCAAUACCGGGGCGAGCGGCGGAGGAAGCUCAGGGAAGAUUAUGAAGAUGAGAGAGGAGUUUUAAGCCUCAGUGUGGUUAAUCAUCUCCAUCACCCUCGUCAUCUGCAUCACCCUCGUCAUCUCCAUCACCCUCGUCAACUCCAUCACCCUCGUCAACUCCAUCACCCUCGUCAUCUGCAUCACCCUCGUCAUCCCAUCACCCUCGUCAUCUCCAUCACCCUCAACUCCAUCACCCUCGUCAUCUGCAUCACCCUCGUCAUCCCAUCACCCUCGUCAACUCCAUCACCCUCAACUCCAUCACCCUCGUCAUCUCCAUCACCCUCGUCAUCUGCAUCACCCUCAACUCCAUCACCCUCAACUCCAUCACCCUCGUCAACUCCAUCACCCUCAUCAUCUGCAUCACCACUAUCUGCAUCACCAUCAUCAUCAUGUCUCCCAACCCAUCACCCAUUCUCCACAACCUUCAAGUCUUAGCUUAAACAUGGCCUUCUUGCAUUUCCCCAUCUAAAUUCGGAUGCCCACAUUCAAUCAUAAUUCACCAU
RNAcentral lists this long non-coding RNA (1047 nucleotides) under Sus scrofa (pig). RNAcentral describes it as "lncRNA (ENSSSCG00025067930.1)". The record is from RNAcentral. Lineage: Eukaryota; Metazoa; Chordata; Mammalia; Artiodactyla; Suidae.